Molecule: ribosomal RNA, 429 nt
Filed under: Bacteroidota bacterium
Lineage: Bacteria; Pseudomonadati; Bacteroidota
Description: Bacteroidetes bacterium partial 16S ribosomal RNA
Rfam family: Bacterial small subunit ribosomal RNA
Source: RNAcentral
UAGGGAAUCUUCGGCAAUGGGGGGAACCCUGACCGAGCAACGCCGCGUGAGUGAAGAAGGUUUUCGGAUCGUAAAGCUCUGUUGUUAAGGAAGAACGAGUGUGAGAAUGGAAAGUUCAUGCUGUGACGGUACUUAACCAGAAAGGGACGGCUAACUACGUGCCAGCAGCCGCGGUAAUACGUAGGUCCCGAGCGUUGUCCGGAUUUAUUGGGCGUAAAGCGAGCGCAGGCGGUUAGAUAAGUCUGAAGUUAAAGGCAGUGGCUCAACCAUUGUAGGCUUUGGAAACUGUUUAACUUGAGUGCGGAAGGGGAGAGUGGAAUUCCAUGUGUAGCGGUGAAAUGCGUAGAUAUAUGGAGAAACACCGGUGGCGAAAGCGGCUCUCUGGUCUGUAACUGACGCUGAGGCUCGAAAGCGUGGGGAGCGAACAGG